This 266-nucleotide ribosomal RNA is filed under the name uncultured bacterium. RNAcentral's name for it is "partial 16S ribosomal RNA". The record is from RNAcentral.
CUGCUGCCUCCCGUAGGAGUCUGGUCCGUGUCUCAGUACCAGUGUGGGGGACCUUCCUCUCAGAACCCCUAUCCAUCGUGGACUUGGUGAGCCGUUACCUCACCAACUAUCUAAUGGAACGCAUGCCCAUCUAUCAGCGAUAAUUCUUUAACAAAUAUUUCCAUGUGGAACCCCUGUUUUAUGCGGUAUUAGUCCGACUUUCGCCGGGUUACGUUCCCCUUCUGAUAGGUAGGUUGCAUACGCGUUACUCACCCGUGCGCCGGUCG